This 852-nucleotide ribosomal RNA is filed under the name uncultured organism. Its description in RNAcentral is "SSU rRNA". It matches the Rfam family "Bacterial small subunit ribosomal RNA", at positions 30 to 895 of the family's 1533-position model. The record is from RNAcentral.
CGAACGCUGGCGGCGCGCCUAACACAUGCAAGUCGAACGAGAGAUGAGGAGCUUGCUCUUCAGAUCGAGUGGCGAACGGGUGAGUAACGCGUGAGGAACCUGCCUCAAAGAGGGGGACAACAGUUGGAAACGACUGCUAAUACCGCAUAAGCCCACGGCUCGGCAUCGAGCAGAGGGAAAAGGAGCAAUCCGCUUUGAGAUGGCCUCGCGUCCGAUUAGCUAGUUGGUGAGGUAAUGGCCCACCAAGGCGACGAUCGGUAGCCGGACUGAGAGGUUGAACGGCCACAUUGGGACUGAGACACGGCCCAGACUCCUACGGGAGGCAGCAGUGGGGAAUAUUGCACAAUGGGGGAAACCCUGAUGCAGCGACGCCGCGUGGAGGAAGAAGGUCUUCGGAUUGUAAACUCCUGUUGUUGAGGAAGAUAAUGACGGUACUCAACAAGGAAGUGACGGCUAACUACGUGCCAGCAGCCGCGGUAAAACGUAGGUCACAAGCGUUGUCCGGAAUUACUGGGUGUAAAGGGAGCGCAGGCGGGAGAACAAGUUGGAAGCGAAAUCCAUGGGCUCAACCCAUGAACUGCUUUCAAAACUGUUUUUCUUGAGUAGUGCAGAGGUAGGCGGAAUUCCCGGUGUAGCGGUGGAAUGCGUAGAUAUCGGGAGGAACACCAGUGGCGAAGGCGGCCUACUGGGCACCAACUGACGCUGAGGCUCGAAAGUGUGGGUAGCAAACAGGAUUAGAUACCCUGGUAGUCCACACCGUAAACGAUGAUUACUAGGUGUUGGAGGAUUGACCCCUUCAGUGCCGCAGUUAACACAAUAAGUAAUCCACCUGGGGAGUACGACCGCAAGGUU